GUCCCGUUGGCGUAGUGGAUAACGCACUUGACUUCUAAUCAAGGGAUCAUGGGUUCGAAUCCCAUACGGGACG
This 73-nucleotide transfer RNA is filed under the name Gonium pectorale. It matches the Rfam family "tRNA". Rfam says of the family: Transfer RNA (tRNA) molecules are approximately 80 nucleotides in length. The record is from Rfam by way of RNAcentral. Lineage: Eukaryota; Viridiplantae; Chlorophyta; Chlorophyceae; Chlamydomonadales; Volvocaceae.